AACGAACGCUGGCGGCAGGCUUAACACAUGCAAGUCGAGCGCAUCCUUCGGGGUGAGCGGCAGACGGGUGAGUAACGCGUGGGAACGUACCCUUUCCUACGGAAUAGCUCCGGGAAACUGGAAUUAAUACCGUAUACGCCCUUAGGGGCAAAGAUUUAUCGGGGAAGGAUCGGCCCGCGGUGGAUUAGCUAGUUGGUGGGGUAAAGGCCUACCAAGGCGACGAUCCAUAGCUGGUCUGAGAGGAUGAUCAGCCACAUUGGGACUGAGACACGGCCGAAACUCGUACGGGAGGCAGCAGUGGGGAAUAUUGGACAAUGGGCGCAAGCCUGGGCCAGCCGUGCCGCGAGAGUAAUGAAGGCCUUAGGGUUGUAAAGCUCUUUCAGUAGGGAAGAGAAUGACGGUACCUACAGAAGAAGCCCCGGCUAACUUCGUGCCAGCCGCCGCCGUAA
Molecule: ribosomal RNA, 449 nt
Filed under: uncultured bacterium
Lineage: Bacteria
Description: partial 16S ribosomal RNA
Rfam family: Bacterial small subunit ribosomal RNA
Source: RNAcentral